AAAAGCUUUACAGAUAAGCAAAAGCUAAGAGAAUUCAGCACCACCAGACCAGCUUUGCAACAAAUGCUAAAGGAACUUCUCUAAGCAGAAAAUAAAAGGCCACUACUAGAAUCAAGAAAAUUAGGAAUGGAAAAGCUCACUGGCAAAGGGAAACAUACAGUAAAGGCAGUAAAGGUAAGAAAUCAUCUGCACACAAAUAUAUCAAAACCAGUGAUUGUGAGAAGAGGAGAGCACAAAUGCAGGCUAUUGGAAAUGCAUUGGAAAUUAAAAGACUAGCAACUUGAAACAAUUUUGUUUAUAUAUAGACUGCUAUAUCAAAACCUCAUGGGAAUGGCAAAACAAG
Long non-coding RNA from Aethalodelphis obliquidens (Pacific white-sided dolphin), 343 nucleotides. RefSeq lists it as uncharacterized. NCBI's taxonomy places the organism in Eukaryota, Metazoa, Chordata, Mammalia, Artiodactyla, Delphinidae. The record is from RefSeq and is a predicted model, not a curated record. The transcript is spliced from 3 exons.